RNAcentral lists this ribosomal RNA (497 nucleotides) under uncultured bacterium. Its description in RNAcentral is "partial 16S ribosomal RNA". It matches the Rfam family "Bacterial small subunit ribosomal RNA", at positions 28 to 507 of the family's 1533-position model. The record is from RNAcentral.
GAUGAACGCUGGCGGCGUGCCUAAUACAUGCAAGUCGAGCGAACAGACGAGGAGCUUGCUCCUCUGACGUUAGCGGCGGACGGGUGAGUAACACGUUGAUAACCUACCUAUAAGACUGGGAUAACUUCGGGAAACCGGAGCUAAUACCGGAUAAUAUAUUGAACCGCAUGGUUCAAUAGUGAAAGACGGUUUUGCUGUCACUUAUAGAUGGAUCCGCGCCGCAUUAGCUAGUUGGUAAGGUAACGGCUUACCAAGGCAACGAUGCGUAGCCGACCUGAGAGGGUGAUCUGCCACACUGGAACUGAGACACGGUCCAGACUCCUACGGGAGGCAGCAGUAGGGAAUCUUCCGCAAUGGGCGAAAGCCUGACGGAGCAACGCCGCGUGAGUGAUGAAGGUCUUCGGAUCGUAAAACUCUGUUAUUAGGGAAGAACAAAUGUGUAAGUAACUAUGCACGUCUUGACGGUACCUAAUCAGAAAGCCACGGCUAACUACGUG